RNAcentral lists this long non-coding RNA (222 nucleotides) under Elaeis guineensis (African oil palm). Its description in RNAcentral is "long non-coding RNA (EGUI_LNC078228)". The record is from RNAcentral. Lineage: Eukaryota; Viridiplantae; Streptophyta; Magnoliopsida; Arecales; Arecaceae.
UGCCCAAAAGUUGGGUACCCCUCUUCCACAUGCCAAGAAAAAGUGAUGGUGACUUAAAGAUUGAAGAUUAAGGAGAAGAAGAAAAAGAAGGCUGCUAAUCAAGAAGUUGAUCCUACAGUCCUGAUUAAGGAGUUGAUCAAAGUAUUCAAGGCUGAGAUUUUUCUUAGGAAGAAGAGUCUUCUAUGAGGAAAAAAGUUCGAGAUCGAUUCUGAUGGAUACCCA